This 206-nucleotide ribosomal RNA is filed under the name uncultured bacterium. RNAcentral describes it as "partial 16S ribosomal RNA". It matches the Rfam family "Bacterial small subunit ribosomal RNA", at positions 568 to 774 of the family's 1533-position model. The record is from RNAcentral.
AGCGCAGGUGGUUUAUUAAGUCUGGUGUAAAAGGCAGUGGCUCAACCAUUGUAUGCAUUGGAAACUGGUAGACUUGAGUGCAGGAGAGGAGAGUGGAAUUCCAUGUGUAGCGGUGAAAUGCGUAGAUAUAUGGAGGAACACCGGUGGCGAAAGCGGCUCUCUGGCCUGUAACUGACACUGAGGCUCGAAAGGCUGGGGAGCAAACA